This is a long non-coding RNA of Mustela lutreola (European mink), 1452 nucleotides long. RefSeq lists it as uncharacterized. The transcript has 3 exons. The record is from RefSeq and is a predicted model, not a curated record. NCBI's taxonomy places the organism in Eukaryota, Metazoa, Chordata, Mammalia, Carnivora, Mustelidae.
UUUGUAAUAAUAAUACGAUUUAUUCUCUCAGCGUGAGGUCACUGGGUCGUGUAGGCGGGGGAAAUUGGGAGUUGGAAUGGGAAAAAUUGGGGGGUUUGGGAGAGGGUUGGACUAAUUCAUGGAGCUGUGAGCGUGGAGUGGGUGCGCGGGGCGGGGGAUAAGGGGGUGGAAGCAAGGCAAAGGCUGAGGGGAGAGACGACUUAGGAGGCGCCUGUGCCCGCCCCCAGUCCAAGGUAAAUAAAGAGGCGGCCCCGCCCCGCCAGCCCCCGCCGACAGGUGCUGGUCCCCGUUCCUCCGGCCGGCCGGCCCCACCCUCCUGGGAGCGGGCUCCCCACCCCAGUCCGCGGCUCUAAAUCCCCCAGCCUCCUUCCCGCGCCCCUGGCCCUUUCCUCCAGCCCAGCCCGGCCCCAUUUUCUCCGGGCGUGGACCCAGUUCUCUUCCCCGAGGUACCGGGCGCAUCCCGCCCCCGCCCCGGAGGGAAGAUGCACGUGAACAAAGCGAAUCGGGGGAGGCCGAAACGGCAGAAAAAGGCAACAAGACAGAGGGAAAGAGCAUGGAUGUCAGGAAGCAGUCGAGAGAAGGGAGGAUUGCCCUCUGGCUGGCCAGAAGGGGUCAGGAGCAUCAUGUGGUUUCUGCCCUUCUGGAAUAUAUUGUCCAGCUGCAAAGGAAAGAAGAUGGAAUGAUGGAGGGAAAGAAGAAGGAGGAGAAGAAAGAGGAGGAGGAGGAGAAGGGUAAGGGGAAUAGGAAGAGGAAACAGCUUCCAGUACUACAGCAGCGCCACUCAGUCCCUUUUGCUUGUGGAGGGAAAGCACUGAUGGGAAUAUCCAGGUCAGGAAGUAACAGACCAAGUGGCCAGCUCUGCUCACACCUUCCCACUUGAAACUGCUCUCCCUUUGGGGUGCUCUCUGAUUCCAGUAUUCCCACUAUUCAUCUGGUCCAAACAUGGAUACAAACCCCGCUCCUGUUCCCCUUGCCACAGCUGUACAAGGCUGGGUUUAUCCUAAUGAUUGAAAUCCAGUCAACAAAAGGGACCCCAGGUUUUAAGGAAUCAGUCCUGUUUCCUAUUCUGUUUUAAAGGUAUUUCUAGCACGAGGGAAACACAGAAUGUCAGAGGCGCAACACUGGCCUGCUUUCUUUCUGCUUCUAGUACAGGAUCCUCUUACUUUUCCCCAUUUAGAAGCAUUCUUUCCCAGUCUUUUUGCUAUCUUCAGAGCCAAGGUCAAAGAUUCCAGUUCUGAUAUGAACAGGAACAACCUUUCUGGAGGACGAUUUGACAGUACUGAUCAAAAAAUCUUUAAAAUAUGCAUUGCUGUUUUUGCGCAUUACUAAAUUGUGACACAGCUAUUCCAUUUAUAGAAAUAUUCUAAGGAAAUAAAAAUAGAAUGUGGACAAAGAUUUAAUCUACAGCACCCAUCAGAGCACUAUUUACAUAAUAAUGAAAGAUGGUACACA